AUGGUUGGCAUUAAGGGCGCAUGGUGGAUGCCUAGACAUCAAACGACGACGAAGGACGCAGCAUAGCGGCGAUACGCCACGGUGAGGUGCGGAGCAACCGUUGACCCGUGGAUUUCCGAAUGGGGCAACCCUGUUGAGUAAACCUCAACAACCUUCGCAAGAAGGAGUCACACCCGCUGAAGUAAAACAUUUCAGUAAGCGGUGGAAACGAAAAAAAGUCCGCGCAAGCGGAAAAAUUCCCCAAGUAGCGGCGAGCGAAACGGGAGAAGCCUAAACCACAUGUUCGCAAGAAUGCGUGGGGUUGUAAGGGAGGAACGCUAUCACUUAUAACCGAGAGCCGGGAGCGAUCCCGGCAUAUCGGUUAUGGGUGAAAAGGAGGAGUUACAAAUUCAUUUGCUAGCCGAAGCGUCCUGGAAAGGACCGCCAAAGUGGGUGAUGGCCCCGUAGGCGAAAGCAGAUGAACUUCUUAGUUUCUUUUCUUGAGUAGCUCGAGGUAAAACAGCUUCGAGUGAAUCCGGGAGUACUAUCUCCUAAGGCUAAAUACGUUUGAUGAUCGAUAGUGAACUAGUACCGUGAGGGAAAGGUUAAAAGCAGGCCGGUGAGGCCGUUGAAAUAGAUCCUGAAACCAUGCGUUUACAAGGAACUGACGUCUUAUGAGCCCGCCGCAAGGCAGGCCCCGGACUACAGUGUGCCUAUUGAAGAAUGAGCCAACGACUUUAGGUGUGCGGCAAGGAUAAGUCCUCUCGGGGACGCAUCCGUAGGGAAACCGAGUAUUAACGUGCGAUUUAGUCGUACACCUAAGACCCGAAGCCGGAUGAGCUUGCCUUGGCCAGGUUGAACUCCGUAGAAAUACGGAGGGAGGACCGAACCGGUAGGUUGUUCAACACCUUCGGAUGAGCUGAGGUAAGGAGUGAAAAGCUAAUCGAAUUCGGUAAUAGCUGGUUCUCUCCGAAACAGUUUUUGGACUGGCGGCGUAAAGUAGCGGGUGGGGGCUAAGCUCCAUGUUCGCGAGGGAAAAAGCCCAGACCAUCAAUUAAGGUCCCCAAGUGCGUGCUAAGUGUAAAAGGCAGUGUUGUGCCAUAGACAGAUAGGAGGUUGGCUUAGAGGUAGCCACCCUUUAAAGAGUGUGUAACAACUCACUAUUCGAUCGGCACGGCGCGCCGAAAAUGUAUCGGGGCUAAGCACGCCACCGAAAUUAUGGGUUCGUAUGUCCUUCGGGACGUAUGAGCGGUAGGAGAGCAUUCCCUUCUGCUGUGAAGCAGGACCCGCGAGGGCCUGUGGAGCGUAGGGAAGAGAGAAUGUUGGCAUGAGUAACCACAAUCCCAAUGAGAAAUUGAGAGCCCGAAAAUCCAAGGUUUCCGUGGCACUGGCAAUCAACCACGGGUUAGGCGGUCCUAAGGCGAUGGCGAAAGCCGCAGCUGAUGGAUAGCCGGUUAAUAUUCCGGCCCAGCCAUGCGAUCAUAGCGAAGUGCGAAGGAAAAAGACGGGAGUGCCUUAUUGGUUUGGCAUUUAUACUCCAAGGCGCAAGCCGGGAGCGUAUGAAUGUCCGGUUUUACCGGACAAACUUCCGAGAAGAGCCUUCCGAGAAAAGCUUCGUGAAAGCGAGCGCAUGGUUUCCGUACCGUAAACCGACACUGGUGGGUGAGGCGAGAAGCCUCAGGGUAACGAGUGAUUCAUCUUUAAGGAACUCGGCAAAAAAGCGGCCGUACCUUCGGUAUAAGGCCUGCCCAUCGCAAGAUGGGCCGCAGCGAAAGUCUCCCUGGCGACUGUUUACCAAAAACACAGCUCCCUGCAAACUCGCAAGAGGACGUAUAGGGGGUGACACUUGACCGAUGCGAGAAGGUUAAACUUGGCAGUGGUGUGCAGCAAUGUGCAUUGCCGACCGAGCGAAGCCCUCGUCAAUGUCAGCGGUAACUAUAACCGUUCUAAGGUAGCGCAUUUCCUUUCCGGGUAAGUUCCGGAGCGCACGAAAAGUGUAACGACUGGGGAACUGUCUCAAAGAUGAGCUCGGUGAAAUUGCGAUUCCCGUGAAGACGCGGGAUACCUGUAGCGGGACGAAAAGACCCCGGAAGCUUUACUGCAGCCUGGUAUUGAUUUCAGAGUUAUGAUGCGUAGCGUAGUGGCGAGCCUUUGAAGCGUCCCUUUCGGGGGACGUGGAGGCGACAAUGAAACAGCCAUCUUCAUCACUUUGACGUCUCACCGGGGAGGGACCUUAAAAUGGAAACCUCCCUGGGACAGUGCUUGGUGGGUAGUUUAAAUGGGGCGUUUUCCUUAACUUGACAAUGCUUCCGUGUUGUCAGAAGGGGGACCCGAUCCAGUCUUAAGAUUGGAGGGAAAAAUCUAAUGUAUAUGCUGGAACAUCCGCGGUAUCAGUUUGUACCUUUGUCGAAAAGGUGAAAAUCAAACUGUGGCGUCCGAUGAAAAUCGGGCCGGCGGACAAUCAGCAGGCAACCUCGACGUAAGAAUUGAGGAAGUCCUCAGAGACUAUCAGUUAGAGCGGCGCACUACCCGCGCGCCGUAUGAUAUAGUCCGAACUGCAUGGCGACAUGCAGGCCGCGCAAGCGGCACCUAAAUACCAUGAGAUCAAGAAUCAUUGAAGAGCUUAAGAAACAUCUGAAGCUUACUGCAAUGCAAAGAUCUCUUCUCGUAGGCCUGCUUUUAGGCGAUGGCCAUCUGGAACUACAGAGUGGUGGCAGAGAAUAUCGUCUGAAAGUUGAACAUGGAGUUAAGCAGAAGGAUUAUGUGGAUUGGUUGUACGAACAAUUCAAAGAUUUUGUUCGUACGCCGCCGCGUAUCAAGACCAGGAUUGUAAAAGGAAUAACGUGUAAGAGCUACGGCUUUACCACUUAUUCCUACGGAUCAUUUCGUUUUUACGCCCAGCAAUUCUACGUUGGGCGAAAGAAAGUGAUCCCGAAACUGAUCUCCAAAAUGCUUGACCCUAGAGCGUUGGCAAUAUGGUUCAUGGAUGAUGGAUCUUUCAAGUCCGUCAGCCACAAGACCUAUAUAAUCCAUACGCAUGGUUACGAGAAGAAAGAUUUGGAGCGUGUAAAAGAUGUGCUCCAAAAGAAAUUCGGUAUUAUCGUAGGACUGCAUAAGCAAUAUGAUCGCUGGCGAAUCUACAUAAUGAGUGAUUCGGCAACGGCGUUCAGAAAUCUUGUCAGUGCCCAUGUAAUACCGUCAAUGCGGUAUAAGUUAGGGAACAUCAAGCCUAAAGAGUAACGGAGGAGUUUAUUAAGGUUGGCUAGGCCCGGAUGGAAACCGGGCGCGUCGUGUAAAGGCAUAUGCCAGCUUGACUGCAAGACCUACAAGUCGCGCAGGCGCGAAAGCGGAACUUAGUGACCCGACGAUUCUUUAUAGAAAGGUCGGAGACAACGGAUAAAAGCUACUCCGGGGAUAACAGGCUAGUCUGGUCCGAGCGUCCACAGCGACGACCAGGCUCGGCACCUCGAUGUCGGCUCGCCCUAGCGCGGGGGUGAAGAAGCUCCCAAGCGUUUGGCUGUUCGCCAAUUAAAAGGGCACGUGAGCUGGGUUCAGACCGUCGUGAGACAGGUUGGUCUCUAUCUGUUACAGGCGUUUAAUCACUUGAGGGGAGUUGACCCUAGUACGAGAGGACCGGGUUGAACAUACCUCUGGUCUACCGGCUUUGGCACCUGCUGAAACGCCGGGUAGCUAUGUACGGAAGGGAUAAGUGCUGAAAGCAUCUAAGCACGAAGCCCACCCCAAGAUUAGGUGAUAUGGUCUCGUCGCAGACUACGACGUUGAUAGGCUCUAGGUGUAAGGAUCGCAAGGUCUUCAGCCAAGGAGUACUAAUGACCCGCCAACCAUCC
This is a non-coding RNA of Candidatus Liptonbacteria bacterium, 3827 nucleotides long. The record is from Rfam. Lineage: Bacteria; Candidatus Liptoniibacteriota.